GAUGAACGCUGGCGGCGUGCCUAAUACAUGCAAGUCGAGCGAACAGAUGAGGAGCUUGCUCCUCUGACGUUAGCGGCGGACGGGUGAGUAACACGUGGAUAACCUACCUAUAAGACUGGGAUAACUUCGGGAAACCGGAGCUAAUACCGGAUAAUAUAUUGAACCGCAUGGUUCAAUAGUGAAAGACGGUUUUGCUGUCACUUAUAGAUGGAUCCGCGCCGCAUUAGCUAGUUGGUAAGGUAACGGCUUACCAAGGCAACGAUGCGUAGCCGACCUGAGAGGGUGAUCGGCCACACUGGAACUGAGACACGGUCCAGACUCCUACCGGAGGCCGCAGUAGGGAAUCUUCCGCAAUGGGCGAAAGCCUGACGGAGCAACGCCGCGUGAGUGAUGAAGGUCUUCGGAUCGUAAAACUCUGUUAUUAGGGAAGAACAAAUGUGUAAGUAACUAUGCACGUCUUGACGGUACCUAAUCAGAAAGCCACGGCUAACUACGUG
RNAcentral lists this ribosomal RNA (497 nucleotides) under uncultured bacterium. Its description in RNAcentral is "partial 16S ribosomal RNA". It matches the Rfam family "Bacterial small subunit ribosomal RNA", at positions 28 to 507 of the family's 1533-position model. The record is from RNAcentral.